RNAcentral lists this long non-coding RNA (232 nucleotides) under Carica papaya (papaya). RNAcentral's name for it is "long non-coding RNA (CPAP_LNC006866)". Lineage: Eukaryota; Viridiplantae; Streptophyta; Magnoliopsida; Brassicales; Caricaceae. The record is from RNAcentral.
UUUUGCAAACUGAGCAUGUUCAAGCACCUCCGCAUACAAGGUGGAUCUCAGCAUCGUGACCCGAUCAUAAAUGUCAGCACGAAGGUCCUUGAGAAACUUCCUAGCCUUUCGGCUCUCGGGGGUGACCAUUAGAUGAGCAAACCUAAACAGUUGAACAAAACGGGGCACAUACUAGGCAACCAUCAAACUCCCUUGGCAAAGGUCCUGAAAUUCCUCCUCCUUCUUUUCUUGG